UCCAGGGCUGCAGCCCUGGA
Molecule: unclassified non-coding RNA, 20 nt
Filed under: Canis lupus familiaris (dog)
Lineage: Eukaryota; Metazoa; Chordata; Mammalia; Carnivora; Canidae
Description: RNA Expansion segment ES30 from Canis lupus familiaris (PDB 4V5Z, chain BO)
Source: RNAcentral